UUAUGGCAAGAAUGAUGAGUCUAUUAGAUGUGCCAGGGGUGUAUUCCCAAUGAGCUAAAACUUCUGAGGCUUAUUGAUAUUCUGACUUGCCAACU
This is a non-coding RNA of Solanum tuberosum (potato), 95 nucleotides long. The record is from Rfam. NCBI's taxonomy places the organism in Eukaryota, Viridiplantae, Streptophyta, Magnoliopsida, Solanales, Solanaceae.